CGGGGUGCAGCAGGCGCGAAAACUUUACAAUGCGGGAAACCGUGAUAAGGGGACACCGAGUGCCAGCAUCAUAUGCUGGCUGUCCAGGUGUGUAAAAUACACCUGUUAGCAAGGGCCGGGCAAGACCGGUGCCAGCCGCCGCGGUAACACCGGCGGCCCGAGUGGUGAUCGUGAUUAUUGGGUCUAAAGGGUCCGUAGCCGGUUUGGUCAGUCCUCCGGGAAAUCUGACGGCUCAACCGUUAGGCUUUCGGGGGAUACUGCCAGGCUUGGAACCGGGAGAGGUAAGAGGUACUACAGGGGUAGGAGUGAAAUCUUGUAAUCCCUGUGAGACCACCUGUGGCGAAGGCGUCUUACCAGAACGGGUUCGACGGUGAGGGACGAAAGCUGGGGGCACGAACCGGAUUAGAUACCCGGGUAGUCCCAGCCGUAAACGAUGCUCGCUAGGUGUCAGGCAUGGCGUGACCGUGUCUGGUGCCGCAGGGAAGCCGUGAAGCGAGCCACCUGGGAAGUACGGCCGCAAGGCUGAAACUUAAAGGAAUUGGCGGGGGAGCACAAGGGCGAAUCGC
RNAcentral lists this ribosomal RNA (566 nucleotides) under uncultured archaeon. RNAcentral describes it as "bacterial SSU rRNA". It matches the Rfam family "Archaeal small subunit ribosomal RNA", at positions 326 to 896 of the family's 1478-position model. The record is from RNAcentral.